This 2636-nucleotide long non-coding RNA is filed under the name Gossypium barbadense (sea-island cotton). RNAcentral describes it as "long non-coding RNA (GBAR_LNC018249)". The record is from RNAcentral. Lineage: Eukaryota; Viridiplantae; Streptophyta; Magnoliopsida; Malvales; Malvaceae.
AUUAUAUUAUAUUAUAUUAUAUAUAUAUAUAUGACAAAGAAAGAAAGAAAAGAAACAGAGAGCAAAACAAAACAGAGAAGGGAGAAAGAAAGAAACAGAGAGCAAAACGAAACAGAGAAGGAAGGAAGGAAAGAAAGAAAGAAAAGAAAAGAAAAAGGGAAAUUUGGGGUUUUAAGGUUCAAAGUAAUUUGGUAAGUCAAUUUAAUCCCCUUUUCUCUUAAUUUUGAUAUUUUUUUUGAAAUCCUAGAAUAAAAUACUACUUGAUUUAAGUUGAAAUUUUGAAAGUUAGUAGAUUAUUAAGCAUGGUUCAUGUUGAAUAAAUUGUUAAAUUAGGGAUGUAUUUGAUAGAAAUUUUGAUUGGAAUUGAAUAAAGGAUUGAAUUGUAAACUAAACUAUAAGUUUUGAAUUUUAGGGAUUAAUUUGAAAUAAAUUCGGAAUUAUGAAAACAUGAUAAAAAUUAAAUAGUUAAAUAUGAGUUUAGUAAGAAUUAAGAGAGAAUAUAGAGUUAGAUUGGGAAAAAUAAAAUUAGUAUUGGUAAGGGAUUAAAUUAGAAUUUGGGUAAAGUUUAGGUAUAAAAGGAAAUAUUUUAAUGAAAUUGUGUAUUAAUGAUUUUUAAUUGUUUAAUUACGUAGCUAAUGUCGUGUACGAGUCAUUGUCCGAGAAAGGAAAGGAGAAAGUGGACAAGGAGUGACUCGAGAGAAAUUACGGUUAGUAUUACUAUAAUUCGAAUUUAAUUAUUAAUCGUUGAAAAUUAAAUUAAUAUACACGAUAAGCAAAUUGAGGUGAGUUUCAUAAUUGAAUUGAAUAAUAUAUAUACGUAUUGAUAUUGAAUUUAUUGACAGUAAUUAUUGAAUUUUGAAUAAUAUGUUAGUAAAUAAAAAUAAGGAGAAUAUCAAUAUUUAAUUGAAUGAAUUAAAAUAUGAAUUGAAUAAAUGAGAUAUUAAAUUGAGAUAUGUGAAUAUGUGAAUUGUGUAUUGAUUGAAAAGUGGUUUGAAUUGAAUCGAAGUAUGAUUAUAUGUGAAUAUCUGAAAUAUGUAUUGGUAUUGAAUUGUAUAUUGAUUUGAAAGUGGGAAGUGAAUCUGAGUUGAAUUGCGAUUAAAUCGAAAGUGAAUUUGAAAUAGAAAAAUGUAUUGAAACAAAUGGUGAUUAAAUGGGAAUGAUUUGAAUUGAAAGUAUGAGAAAGUGAUUGAAUUGAAAUGUGAUUCGGAAACCCUAUUAACUAGUCGGGCUGAGUCGGAUAUAGUUGGCAUGCCAUAGGAUUGGAAGAGUUCAGGGAUACUUCGACCUUGAGUCGAUGAGACACUGGGUGUCACUAUAUUUCUUCGGAUAGAUUCGAUGAGGUACUGGGUACCAACUUUACUUCGGCUGGGCCGAUGAGACACUGGGUGUCAACUAUUGCUUCGAACUAUCCGAUGAGGCACUGGGUGCCAUUUUGGUGUGUUUGGUUGGAUCCGUGUAUCCGCCAAGGUCCGAGUCUUGUUAAUAGGGGUAAAUAAUUGAAAUGAGAAAAUUGAAUAAAUGUGAUUGAUUGAGCUAUGGGAAGAAACGAAAAAGUGAAGUUGUGAAUUGAUGUGUGAAUUGGAAAUCGAAAUAAGAGAUUUAAAGAUAUGAGCCCAAAGUUCAUGAUGUGAUAAAGAGUAAAUUUUGUUAUAUGAUAUUAGUGAGUACAAAUUGCAAUAAAAUUUAUAUUGAAUAUAAAUUAAAUGAAAUGACUUGUAUAUGAAUUGAAAUGAACUAUUGGAAUGAGAUGUAAAGAAAAAUCCAAUGGAAUUGAGAUAGUGAAAUAAGGUAUGAAUACAAUUAAAUACAAGAUUUGAAUUAUAGCUUAUUGUUAUUAAUUAUCAAGUUGAUUUAAUGCAUGAGAUAAUUAAUGAAUAAUUGUAGACAUAAAUAAAAUGUAUAUAAUUUAUCGAUUAAUGUUAUUAAUUCGAAUUAUGGUAAUACCACUGAGUAUUUCCAUACUCAGCGUACGGUUGUUUCCGUGCGCAGGUUAGGUCAAAGUCGGAUUGUUGAAUCAGCAUCCAAAGCCGAUUCUGAGCUAAUUGUGGUGGUGAACAUUUCUUUUAGUUAUGGCAUGUAUAGGAAUUUAGUAAUUUUGUAUAUUUGUAAAUAUGAUUUCACUAUAGAAUGAUGUGUAAGUAUUUGAUGAUGAAUGGUUGUUUAAAUGGUCAAGGAUGAAGUUAAUUAUUGUUAUAAAAGUCUAAGUGAUAAAUUAGGUAUGAAAGUCAUAAAAUGGUAAAAUUUUGCAAAGAAACAGAAUUCAGGCAGCAAUAGUGACGUGAAUUUGAAAAAUCACCCAAGAUAGUAUAAAAUGAAUUAGAGGAUGAAUGAUAUAUGGAAUUAAAGCUUGUUGAGUCUAUUUUCAUGAAAAAAUAACGGUGUAGAGAAAAGAAAUUUAUAUUUUAAGAUAUGUGAAUUUUAGUAAGAUAGGGUCAGAACUGUUUUUGGAGUCCCCUGUUCUGAGUUUAGAAAAUAAUUAAAAAUUGUACAAAAAUGGUUAUGAGUUGAAAUUUACAUGCUUAGAUUCCUUAAUGAGUCUAUUUUCUAUAGAAAUAAGUAAGAACUUCAUAUGAAAAUCCUAUAGUGAGAAAACUUAUUUUUAGUGACUAGAGGUCAGGGCAGUCUGGUGGUGACAC